This 459-nucleotide ribosomal RNA is filed under the name uncultured bacterium. RNAcentral's name for it is "partial 16S ribosomal RNA". It matches the Rfam family "Bacterial small subunit ribosomal RNA", at positions 338 to 795 of the family's 1533-position model. The record is from RNAcentral.
CCUACGGGUGGCAGCAGUGAGGAAUAUUGGUCAAUGGCCGGAAGGCUGAACCAGCCAAGCCGCGUGAAGGACGAAGGUGCCAAGCAUUGUAAACUUCUUUUGUCCAGGGACAAAAUCAGCCUCGAGAGCCUGACCGAGGGUACUUUAAGAAAAAGCAUCGGCUAACUCCGUGCCAGCAGCCGCGGUAAUACGGAGGAUGCGAGCGUUAUCCGGAUUUAUUGGGUUUAAAGGGUGCGCAGGCGGAAGAUCAAGUCAGCGGUAAAAUGGCGAGGCUCAACCGCUUCGCGCAGUUGAAACUGGUUGUCGUGAGUGAGUGAGAAGUAGGCGGAAUGCGUGGUGUAGCGGUGAAAUGCAUAGAUAUCACGAAGAACCCCGAUUGCGAAGGCAGCAUACCGGCGCUCAACUGACGCUCAGGCACGAAAGUGUGGGUAUCGAACAGGAUUAGAUACCCGGGUAGUC